Benincasa hispida (wax gourd) is the source of this 1335-nucleotide non-coding RNA. Lineage: Eukaryota; Viridiplantae; Streptophyta; Magnoliopsida; Cucurbitales; Cucurbitaceae. The record is from RefSeq and is a predicted model, not a curated record.
AGUACAGAUUUGGACAGAAAAAUGAAAAACACGAGUGCCUCACGCAUCCCUUUGCUCGAAUCUCUUCUCCACAUUCUGAUCCCUCAUUUCAGCGAUCUCCGCGACGAACAUUUCCAAACCCUACAGUUGACCUCUUCAAUUCCCUCGUAGAUUCUCCAGAUCCCUCCCUCAGUUCCAUUUCGAAAUUAAUCUCUUCCGAUUUACAGAUUCAGAGUAGUAGCCCUAAUUACGACGGACCAAUCAGAUUCGGUCCUUGUUCAAUUCUGAAAUUGAGAAACCCUAGCUUCAUCUCCAUCUCGGAUUUCGAUCAGCAUCAGAUAUCUAGAUUCUCUUCAACCUCUAAGAAAGAGAACGGGCAGAAACCGUCUGAUUUCAAGCACCAAGACAUUGAAGGGCCGACCGUGGAGAGAGACUUAUCGGCACUGGCUAAUGAAAACAGAGAGGUGGUUGAAGGGCUUCACCGAUUACUGAAGUUGCGAUUCAGAGUUUUGUGGCAUUUGGGUUUCCUUUCUCAUUGCAUUCAUUAUGCGGCGAUCUCUAAAGCCGAUGAUUUUUUCAAGAAAAUGGAGGAACAAGGUAGGUUACAGAUUCUAACGCUGAGUCUUUAGAUUGGCCAAAUGCUUGGAAACGGGUGAAAAUAUGGCUAUAAAGAAGGUUUUGCAGGACAUAAGAUAUAAGAAGCGUGAGCUCCAAAAGCAUUGUUUCUUUUCCACUACUACAAAAGACAAACUAUUUCUCAACUUGGUAAUGGAAUAUGUCCCUGAAACCAUGUUUCGGUUUUGAAGCAUUACAGUAAUGCAAAUCAAAGAAUGCCAAUCAUCUAUGUCAAAUUAUACAUGUACCAGGUUUUUAGGGGCCUGGCCCAUAUCCACACGGUUCCUGGAGUUUGUCACCGAGAUUUGAAGCCUCAAAAUAUUUUGGUGAAUCCCCUUAUUCACCAAGUAAAAAUAUGUGACUUUGGAAGUGCAAUAAUGCUUGUACGUUGAUAAAUUUUCAGGUGCUCAAAGCGACGAGUUCAAGGUGGACUAUAUUAUUCUUGUAGAGGCAGGAGCAUAGUGAACGAGAUUUGACUCGAAUUACUUCAUACGGGAUUUGUAGGUGUAAUUUUUUUUAAUUGUUCAUAGAGGGGAUGGGGGUUGAUUGUAUAAUAGAAAAUUUUUUAAUACGUGGGUUGAUGUUGUUAUACUUUUGAAAUUGUUCAUAUCUGGUUGACUAUAAUGUUGGAAUAAUUCAUAUGGGGUUUUUCAUAUUCUUUUAACUUAUAAAUACUUUAUGGGGUUAUAAUAUUGACAAUGUUAAAGAAGUGAAGUUUUUAUAAAGAGAUAUUGGUGGAAA